GGAGGUGUAGCUCAGUUGGUAGAGUACUUGGUGCUUGCCUCAUAUGCACAAGGCCUUGGGUUCAAUCCCCAACACCACCA
RNAcentral lists this transfer RNA (80 nucleotides) under Ictidomys tridecemlineatus (thirteen-lined ground squirrel). RNAcentral describes it as "Spermophilus tridecemlineatus (thirteen-lined ground squirrel) tRNA". It matches the Rfam family "tRNA". From Rfam's summary of the family: Transfer RNA (tRNA) molecules are approximately 80 nucleotides in length. Their secondary structure includes four short double-helical elements and three loops (D, anti-codon, and T loops). The record is from Rfam by way of RNAcentral. Lineage: Eukaryota; Metazoa; Chordata; Mammalia; Rodentia; Sciuridae.